AGCGGGCCGUGCGGUUGCGGGAAACGUUAUGUUUCACGAGGAAAGUCCGGGCUUCACGGCGGCAGGGUGCCGGCUAAUUACCGGUGAAGGCGACUUCAAGGAAAGUGCACAGAAAUAUACCGCAGCGCUUUUGCGCUGUAAGGGUGGAAUGGGGAGGUAAGAGCUCACCGACCGCCCGGUAACGGGCGGUGCCAGGUAAACCCCACCCGAAGCAAGACUGAACCGAAAGUAUCGCCGCCACAAGGCUUUCGGUAUAAGCAUACGUCGCUCGAGCGUUUCGGCAACGACGCGCCAAGAUAGAUAACCGCAUUAAACGACAGAACCCGGCUUACAGGCCCGA
This 340-nucleotide RNase P RNA is filed under the name bovine gut metagenome. RNAcentral's name for it is "Bacterial RNase P class A". It matches the Rfam family "Bacterial RNase P class A". From Rfam's summary of the family: Ribonuclease P (RNase P) is a ubiquitous endoribonuclease, found in archaea, bacteria and eukarya as well as chloroplasts and mitochondria. Its best characterised activity is the generation of mature 5'-ends of tRNAs by cleaving the 5'-leader elements of precursor-tRNAs. The record is from RNAcentral.